CGGGGUGCAGCAGGCGCGAAAACUUUACAAUGCCGGCAACGGCGAUAAGGGAACCUCGAGUGCCAGGUUACAAAUCUGGCUGUCGUGAUGCCUAAAAAGCAUUGCAUAGCAAGGGCCGGGCAAGACCGGUGCCAGCCGCCGCGGUAACACCGGCGGCUCGAGUGGUAACCGUUAUUAUUGGGUCUAAAGGGUCUGUAGCCGGCCGGAUAAGUCUCUUGGGAAAUCUGGCAGCUUAACUGUCAGGCUUUCAGGAGAUACUGUCUGGCUCGAGGCCGGGAGAGGUGAGAGGUACUUCAGGGGUAGGGGUGAAAUCUUGUAAUCCUUGAAGGACCACCAGUGGCGAAGGCGUCUCACCAGAACAGACCUGACGGCAAGGGACGAAAGCUAGGGGCACGAACCGGAUUAGAUACCCGGGUAGUCCUAGCCGUAAACGAUACUCGCUAGGUGUCGGCCACGGUGCGACCGUGGUCGGUGCCGUAGGGAAGCCGUGAAGCGAGCCACCUGGGAAGUACGGCCGCAAGGCUGAAACUUAAAGGAAUUGGCGGGGGAGCAC
RNAcentral lists this ribosomal RNA (553 nucleotides) under uncultured archaeon. RNAcentral's name for it is "bacterial SSU rRNA". It matches the Rfam family "Archaeal small subunit ribosomal RNA", at positions 326 to 879 of the family's 1478-position model. The record is from RNAcentral.